AGGUCUGUUUUGGUGCAAACUUGGUUUCAUUGGCUAUAUUCCAAUUGCACUGAUCCCGGCCUGC
Molecule: microRNA precursor, 64 nt
Filed under: Eisenia fetida (common brandling worm)
Lineage: Eukaryota; Metazoa; Annelida; Clitellata; Crassiclitellata; Lumbricidae
Description: Efe-Mir-92-o39_pre stem-loop
Source: RNAcentral